This is a long non-coding RNA of Pseudopipra pipra, 6590 nucleotides long. RefSeq lists it as uncharacterized. NCBI's taxonomy places the organism in Eukaryota, Metazoa, Chordata, Aves, Passeriformes, Pipridae. The transcript has 10 exons. The record is from RefSeq and is a predicted model, not a curated record.
CGCGCGCGCGCAACGGCCGCGCUGAGGGCAGCGCGCGGGGCGCCGCGGCCGCCAUUGCCGGCUCGUCACAACCGAGACCCCUCAGUGGCCGCCAUUGCCGGCCCGGCACAGCCGAGACCCCUGAGGGGCCGCCAUGGCCGCCCGGUCACAGCCGAGACCCCUGAGGGGCCGCCAUGGCCGGCUCGUCACAGCCGAGACCCCUGAGGGGCCGCCCCCCUCACAGCCGAGACCCUGAGGGGCCGCGGGGCCGCCAUUGCCGGCCCUUCUCAGCCGAGACUCCUGAGGGGCCGCCAUGGCCGCCCCCUCACAGUUCGCCCCCUCACAGUUCGCCCCCUCACAGUUCGCCCCCUCACAGUUCGCUCCCUGCUCGCUCUGGGGACACCCGGCCCACGAUGGGGCCGCCGAGCCGCCCCCGCUCCGCUCCCGCCGGGCGCCCUUCCAGCCCUUCCCCGCGGGCUCCGCUCCCUCAGGGCGGCGCAGGAUCCCUCGUGUAAAACGCCUGAAUAAUCGUCCUCUCCCAUGGAGAGCUUGUUCCUCUGUAAUAGUCAAGCUGUUGGGAGUGUGGAGAGGCUGAGCAGUGAAUCCACCCAGACUGUCUCCCUUUGACUCUUUAGGAGGAACUUUUUGGAACAGUUCAUUUUAUAUAUAUUUAUUUGACAAAGCCCUAAAAUAUUAUAUAUCCAGUGAGUCUCCUCCUGCACAGUUUAUUUAAGUAAAGUAAACCUUUUUAAGACCUGAGGAAAGUGUCUGUGGCCUAAACCCUCCUUUGUCUCGCCCCAGCUGUGCCCAUUGGGCUGAAAAUAAUUUUAAAAAGAGGUUUAUUUUUCUCUACAAAGCUCUUUUCUGCUCCUCAACCACGAGGCCAAGGCCCAGGGCUUUGACCAUGAAUAAACAAGAGCUGCAAAUUAGGAAAUUAUUAACUGCCAGAGGUCAAGAUUCUGGAGGUCUUGCAAGUCAAGAGGUGGAAGGCAAGAAAAGAAAUCGGGUUUAAAGGAGAGGAAAUGUCUAAUUUUACUCCUCACUUUUGGCCAGUGUGGGUUGUGCUGAUGGAUGAGAGGGAGCAGGAAAAUGAAGGAAGAGAAGGAAUAAAACAUGGAAUAAGUGCUGAGGUUUUUCCCAGCAAACACACAGGGAAGGAGCUGAGCUGGGAAACGUGUUGUCAGCAUGACAUGAUCCAUCCAACACUCCCAAAUAUUCCCAGGUACAAAAUCUUGCUCUCACACCUCACAUUUGGGCAUUAUUCUGUCCAAAGACUGGACUUUUCUGGGGUGGAUGUUCCGUGAGGGCCUGAAACCCCACGACUGGAAUGUGUUGGCUUCCUCUCCUGCUCCAAAUCUCCAAACUCAGCUUUUCAGCAGCAUUCCCUGAUUAAUCUCCAGCCUGGGGUCACUCAGGGAAACCCAGAGCUUUGGAGCCCCUUGGAUUGUCAAACAAAAGCUCAAAUCAACACCAAGUCCCCAAAUCACCCAGGAAUUAACCCAAGGAGCCUCAGUGAAGGGAAGAACCUGCACGUGGGUGAAGAGAUUCCCUCUUGGAUGACAGUUUAAUUCACAACUCGUGUGACAGGAGAGAUUCCAGCACUGAGGAGGUGCCACCAGCCUGGAUAAAAGGAAUAUAAAUAAAUAUAAAUAUAUUUAUCACUUGUAGAGUGGAGAGGAGUGAGGUCGGUUUGGGUUGAAAGGACCCACUGGAAAGGAAAACUAAAACAACCUGAAGUUGUGAAAUUGUGGUUUCUUGCCAUGGUGAGUCAGAAAAUUCACUUUUACCAGCAACAUGCUGCAUUUCUGCCUGCCAGGAAAUCAGGGAAUACAAAAGAGAAAAACAUGUGCUUGUGUGUUUAGAGCCAUUUUUCUGUCCCCCUUUUCACCCCCUGGCAGGUUAUUCCCACCUGCCUUUCCUUCACUCCCGUGGUUUUUAAUCCCUAGAGCUCUAAAAAAGAAAAAAAAAAGAGGAUUUAUCACUUUUCAAACUUCUCCCACCGGGGUCUCUCAUCCAGGUGCUUGCCAAAAAAAUGGGAUGGAAAAAGUGCCAUGAGGGAAGCUCUAAAUAUCCACUCACAUUUACACAGUACUGUACAGAAAAACUUGGAUUAGAUCCAACUGGAAUUUACAGCAGCAGCAUCCCAGGUUUAAUUCCUUGUGUCUUCCUUGUGGGAUGAAAAUUUCUCGGACGGUCCCAAAUCUGGAGGAUCCUCCAUGAAAAAAAAAACCAAAAACAUAAAACCAGAGUAGUUCUGGGAUCUGAGAAGUGCCUGGGACAAAUCCUGUGGCAACCUGGAGGAGAUGGGAAGGUAAAAUUCCCAGCCUGGAAUCAAGUGGAGAGGAAGAAAUGUGAUUUUUUUUCGGGCUGUGAGGUGAAGUUCGGCCGUUAAAUCCACCCCGAGGGAAGAGCAGAGAGAUUGUUGUGAGCAUAAAACAACUCCUCCUGCAGCUCAGAUGUGGCUUUCCAUGGAUUCACCAUGGAAAAAAACCACCUCCUUAAGGUGGGAUCCAGGAGCAGAAGCUGUUUUGUCCAAUACACUGAAUAUUAAGUCCAAAUAUUGAUCCUCCAGAGGUGGUUUUCUGAGGCAGAAAUGAGGCCUGGAGCCCACUGGGGACACUGGCCAGUCCAGCAGGGUUGCUAGAGGGGUGCAGGGGAUUUCAUUUUAAAUUUUAAACCUAUUUUUAGGUCUCUAUUCCACUCAAAGUUAUGAUAUAAAUCCACUUUUAGCAGCAACAAUUCAGGUUUAUCCACACCCAGCUGAGUUUUGUCACUCCAUGUUUGGGAAAGGGACACCAACAAUUCUUUCUGUCCAAGAAUUUGUAGCUUUUUUUUUUUUUAGGCAAGUAACACCUAAAAUCAGUGUCUGAAAGAAGGGAAUUAUUUUUUCAAUUUGUUGCAGUUUUUAUAUUUCAGCUUUAAUUUAUCCUUUGUGGGGCUGCAGGUUCUUCUCUGUGUGGAAAAGACACAUAAACAUCAUCCCUCCAUCCAUCCAUCCAUCCAUCCAUCCAUCCAUCCAUCCAGGAACAUAAAACUUUAGACACUCAUAAAAAUCCUCUUAAAAAAUUAAAACACAGUGCAUACCACUCCCUCAGAAAGUGCACUUCUUGAAAAAAAAUAACUUCUAAAUUGACUUUUGUGUAUUGAAACAACUGACUGAGGUGGGAUCUUGAAGUGAAAAUUGGUGAUUUCUCCUUUUCACGGCUGAAAUUCCCUUUUCCUGAGGGAACUACUUGGAAAAAAUAUGAAGUUUCAUCCUCACAUUCCUCUAAUUUCAUUUUUUUUUCUGACAAUGUAGGCAGAGUGUCUUUGGAAAGAAAGAAAACAACCCAAAACCCCACAUUCUUGUGGGGUGGAGGUUGCUGAGGAGCCAGAGCCUCUCUGUUCUUCCAGGGUCCAAAAUUGAAGGAAAUUGAAGUUUCCUAAUCUUCCACAUCCAUGUUUUCCAGAACAGCAAUAUUUUCCAUGGGGUUGUGAACGUUUUUAAUGGAUUUGAUGCCCACAAAAGCUUUCUAAAGUCGGAUUUUUGCAUCAUUAUUAAAUGUUUUAUCAGUUUUAUUCACUGUAUAACUGCAAACCUCCCUUGCAGGGCCCGACUGCACUGUGGAAAGCUGAUGGGUUUUUUGUCUAAAUUCAUUAAAAAACAGCCUCAAAAAGAAAAGAGGAAAAUCAAAUUGAUGUGUUAUCAGUCAGGAGAUGGUGAAUUCACAGAGCCCACGAGGAGGUUUGUGAUUGUUCCUGGCUGGGAGCUCAAAUAAUUGAAUCAGGAAAAGUCCUUUCCUUAAUUUCAGUGGGUUGCUCAGCCCCUCUGACAGAGCCAGCUCUGCAGAUGGGAAUUCUAUUUGGGAAUUCUAUUUGGGAAUUCUAUUUGGGAAUUCUAUUUGGGAAUUCCUGCUGCUUCUGCCUCCAGGCAGUUCCCUGGCUGGGAGCUCAGCAGGGAGAUGUCACUUGGCAGAACCCAAAAAAAACUGAAGGUUUUUGGGGGUUUGGGGGGGUUUUUUCAUGCCCAGAAUUCACUUCAUAGAAUCCCAGGAUGGGUUUGGGAGGGACCUUAAAGCUCAUCCAGUUCCAUGAGCAGGUUGCUCCAACCUGGCCUUGAAAUCCUUUGUCGAUAAUAAUAAUAAUAAAAAUAAUAAUAAUAAUAAUAAAUAAAUAAAUUUAAAAUGAUGUUUCCAGAAAGCUGUGGAGCUCAAUGCUUGGUUGGUGCUUGUUAUUAACAUGCCAGUGAGAUGGAAGGGGGAGGGUUUUUUGCCAUCUUCACCCAUCCUGGGUGGGUGCUGUGGGUGCUCUGCUUUUCAUGCAAAGGUCUGGUCAGCAAAUACAUCCAGCAUGAGAACGGGUCUCAAAGGAGAACUAACCUUAAGAAGUAUAUAUUUGGUGCUUCUUUGUAGCAUUCAGGGAAAUAAAGAUCUCACCCGUGGUGGUUUUAACUCAGUGAAAGGAAAAAAAAAAAGAGCAGCUUUGUGUAUCCAGAGGAUCCAUCCCUGUCCUGAGGGAAAUCUUGCUCAGCCAGAAUUCUCCUGGAAAUAUUCUUGAAGUGGUCAAACAGGCAGGUGAUUCUCCAUCUGCAGGUGUCUGGGAGGGGUUUUACCUGAUCCCAGAAUCCCAGACUGGGUUGGGUUGGAAGGGACCUUAAACUCAUCCAGUGCCACCCCCUGCCAUGGGCAGGGACACCUUUUGCUGUCCCAGGUUGCUCCAACCUGGCUUUGGACACUUCCAGGGGUGGGGAUGUAACCUGGGUCUGGUGAAGUAACUUCCAAAUAAUUUUGGCCAGAGGGUUGUUCCUUAAUUUACUUUUCCCUCCCUCCUUUGCUCACAGGAUCCUCACGAGUUCCCAGAUCCAGAUUUCCAGAGUCAACGUCACACCUGAACCCAGUCCCGUGCCCUGCGUUCUCCAGGGGAGGGAUAUUCCAGGCAGGAAUGCUGAUGGAUGAGGGCCCUCAGGAGGGAAACUUCCACCAUUUUAGCAGCUUGUCUCUGCAGUGGGAGGUAUUUGACAGGGAGUGAUUGUCCAGGGCCGUGAUAUUGAGACAAAGACGAGGCGUGGAAACCGUUCCCGUCCGCGGGGCUCCUCCCGAACCCAGACCUUCUCAGGGUGGAGAAGAUGCUCCCAGGAAGGUUCUGUGGAGGCUGCCAUUCCAUGGGGGACUCCUUCAGAGCUCCCAGAGUGCCUUACACACCGGAAUGGAACAAAUCAGGGAAAAAAACCCAACCCAAAACGUGGCAUUUCCUCCCGGGAAUGAGGACUGAGGAGCUGGCAACGACUUUGCUGGGACAGCCAAGGCUGGAAGUGCUGCCGAGGCCGGUGGGCACUUGGUAUUUUCAGGAAGAAACACACACUGGCUAUAAAAAGGAGGGAAAAGCUCUUUUCAUUGCCUGUAUUAGUUAUUUCCUGGGGAGGAACCUGGGGGUGCAGCUUUAAAGCAAAACCGUCUCCGCGCUGGCCAGCAGCGAGUUCAGGUGGGUUUAUAAUUUAACCAACAAAAUAAAUCUCUUUCUGGGCUGGGGACUAAUGGAUUAGAGGGUGCUCUUAACUUACUACAAGGUGUGUAUUUGCACUGUGUCACAGCUCUCCACAGACCAUUCCAGAAACACACCAGAACCUGUCCUGAAAAGUGCUUUUCUUGGCCUGCUUUGUUUCGUGGGGUGGUUUUUGUUUGUUUGUUUGAUUGUUGUCCUUCUUCUUCUUCUUUUUUUUUUUUUAAGGUAAAAUGUUUCCAAAAAGGUUAAAGAGCUUUGCAUCUUGGAGACAGAGGAGGCAGGCUCUGGGAUCUUACAGGACUUGGAAUAAGAUGGUGACAAGGUUUUGUCCCAAAAGGUCAUUGCCGUGGGUGGCUGCCAGGCUGUGUCCUUCCACUCCAUCCAUCCACCUCCUGCUCCCAUUCAGGACAUACUGGGAAGGAACAGAGAGAGACAGGAGUUAUUUUUAGGCAGCAAACUGAGGAAUUCAGAGGAUCCCAGCCCAGCAAAAUGUUCUCCAAAGGCCUUCCAUAACCUGGGAAGCAGCUGCUCCUUGGAGGUGGCUUUGCUGGAGGGCAGCUGAUGUUCAAGGCAAGGACCAAAUCCUGGGUGUGACCCCAAAUUGUCAUCCCCACCCUCACCUCCGACCCCAUUUGGUGCCUCCCAACCCCUGGCUGAGCUUUGGAAGCGGGUUCAUUCCAUGCCAAGACCCAGACACCAGCAUUCCAACCCUUAUUUUGGAGCCAGAGGCUGACCCAGCACUCCCUUUCCUGGGCAGAGGUUGGGAUGUGCAGCCUCUCCUGCACCCUCCUGGUCCAAAGCACUGUCCCUCCAGCCCUGGGCCAAAGCCAUCCAUGGAUUUAUAGGUCAAUUUUCCUGGACAGAUGCUAAAGUCAAACCACAGCACGUGGCUGUGACCCUUUGGAAGCUGCUGGAAUUGCUCCUGACCCAUCCUGGGGCCUGGCUGGUUGUUUAUCCAUCGGGAGCACAAUUUGGUGACACGGCAGCCGAAAGGGAAGGGGAGGGAAGGGGGGGCAGCUGCUGCCGAGUACGUGCUGCAGCCCGGCAGCUGCUCCCUCAUCCCGGGAUUCGUGGCAGGACAGCGAUUCCAAAGCCAGAGGGGAAGAAAAAAACCCUUCCUUACCUUCCCA